Molecule: long non-coding RNA, 2154 nt
Organism: Bombus terrestris (buff-tailed bumblebee)
Lineage: Eukaryota; Metazoa; Arthropoda; Insecta; Hymenoptera; Apidae
Exons: 3
Source: RefSeq, a predicted model, not a curated record
UCAGAGUGUGAUUUUAACGUUUACUCUGUAUAACUUUCUCCGCGAGAAUGCCGAUUUCCGUGAAAUGAAGAUAUAUUGCGAUAACUGAAUAUUACUCGAUUAAAUCCUCGUAUCGCGGUAUUUAUCACGAGAAACGAACGCGCGAAUAAUCAGUUUGAAGUGACGCCGCCUUGCAACACGAUAAUGAACUAACCAGGAUGAAUAGGAUAUCGUCGGUUAUAAACACACUAUUCACUACACCACUAACAUUCAGUCGCGAGAUUGUGAUAGAAAAUUACGUUGACGAGUAUUUUGAGAGGUUUUCUUGAUCACACGAGUGAGAAAACACGUGCACGUUUCAAAGCGUUAUUAUUGCUACUCAGCGCGCGAAGGAUACGCUCGGUGAUUGUACUGGAAAGUCAGCAACUGCUGCCACUGGCCCAACUCAGGGAACCUCGACAACUGCUCGUUACGCGCAGUCGAAGCAUACGGGACCCUCAGGCCCGUACGAACAAGCCAACGAAAAUUUCGAGACACGGAGACCGAAAUUUCGAUCGUUCCAUUUUUCCUAGUAUUUAGACUUUAGGUUUGGUUCGGGGCGAGGGUAACAUGCGGACGGAGAGCUCUGCGGAAAAAGUGAAGUGUGAAGGGAAAAAGGAGAAGGAAGCACAAAGUGACACGAAGAAGGGAAAAUAAAGGGUGAGCAUACGAGGAGGAAGUGAAAGAAAAGCGAAAAGAAGUCAGGAACGAGAGAAAGACACAAAUUAGAAAAACUAGAGGGGUAGAGGUUAGGAAGUCAGAAGGGCGGCAAACAAAGUAAGGUAGGGAAACAAAAGAUGGCGACAAACAGAGGGAGACCAAGGAACAUGGAUAAGGCGGGAGAUAAGGCAGAUUUCAAACAAUAUGUAAUUACCAUUAUUAUUUUCGACGCCAAAAACGAGCAAUAAUAAUUCAGCUAUCAUAAAUUCCAUCUUACCUGCACCUCUAUUCACGAUAAAAAGUAUUUUUAUUAUCAUGUUUUGAUUAUUUCUCAAUAAACUUUUAAGACACAAAGGAAUGAAAAUACGAGGAAUAAAUUACAAAGAUAAUUUUCAUAUGGUUUAAUAACAAUAAAUGUUCAACCUUCAAAUGUACGACUAGAAAAAUGAUAACUUCACAAAACUGUACUCCCGUCCAAUUAUAUUUCACCUAAAUAAAUUGUAUCUAAAUCAGCAAAUUAAUUUGGACUCAGCAAGUCUACUAGAAAUUUUUCAGUUUUGAAUUUUUAUAUUCUAACUUCAUUGUAAUUUUAACAGAUAAACAACCUCUGAACGUUUCAAGUAAAACUUUGAUGUAAUGUUACGAAUAAAAAUUGUAAGACGAAAACUCACACAUAUUAUAACACUCUUACACAUUUUCCUCGAAUGUAACAUAAUAUAACAUAACGUCAAAGGCGUAGAAAUAUUAAUCUGCCCAUAGCGUAAUCGUAUUUACAAUUACGAAGUACACUGUUACCCUCAUCAAAAAGUAAUCAUAAAAUUACAAUGGAAAACUAAUGGUAGCUAAAUUUUAUUCUAUUUAUAAACAAUUUUUUGUCUUUCUAAAUCUGAAGAUAAUAUUAAUAACAGAUAAUUUUUACCUACAUAAUAUAUAUAAUCAGUCAAAAAACACUCUUUGAAAGAGAGUAACUUUUUUAAAAUUAAACCAAACGACGAGUUUUUUUGAAAAAUUGCAAGGAUUGUUUUAACUAGACGAUGGGGGAAGAAUUGUUCAGAAAAUUGAAAUUGAUAUGAACGGUGAUGGAAGUACUAAAGAUCACGUUAUAUAACUUUAUAUUAUAAUGAAAAUUUAUUAUUAUUAUUAAAGUGGGUUUUGUAAAUAUAUGUCAAUUACAUGCUGAAAAAUUCAUCUUAAUACGAUAAAUUAAAAUUAAAAAUUCAUCUUGAUACGAUAAAUUUUGAUAUCAAAAUUUAUUUUCAUAUUUGAAAUUUAUUUUCACAGUUAUAGGGCGAAAGUUAUGAAAAAUUGAAAAAUUCACUAUUUUUUAAUAGCUCGAACUUUAUAGUAACGUUAAUUAAUUUUUAUGAAAUUUUCGGCAUGUACUAACAUAAAUGUUCAAAGUGUGUUGUUCAAAUUUUUAUUACAAGCGUGGAUAAAACUUUUAUUUUCAUAAAAGUGACUUUUACCUAGUAAUUU